AACGAACGCUGGCGGCGUGGAUAAGACAUGCAAGUGGGACGCUAAUCAAAGGGUAGCAAUAUUCGUUGGUUGGAGUCGCGUAAGGGUGCGUAACACGUGGGUAAUUUGCCGUGAAGCUUGGAAUAACUUGCCGAAAGGUAAGCUAAUACCGAAUGUGACUUGUGCUGGGCAUCCAGUAUCAGUCAAAGCCGGGGAUCGUAAGACCUGGCACUUCAUGAUAAGCCCGCGGCCUAUCAGCUAGUUGGUGAGGUAACGGCUCACCAAGGCUAAGACGGGUAGCUGGUCUUAGAGGACGACCAGUCACACUGGAACUGAGACACGGUCCAGACACCUACGGGUGGCAGCAGUCGAGAAUUUCUCACAAUGGGCGAAAGCCUGAUGGAGCGACGCCGCGUGGGGGAUGAAUGGCUUCGGCCCGUAAACCCCUGUCAUUCGGGAUCAAAUCUGGUAACCUAACACGUUAUCAGUUGAUAGUACUGAAAGAGGAAGGGACGGCUAACUCUGUGCCAGCAGCCGCGGUAAUACAGAGGUCCCAAGCGUUGUUCGGAUCUACUGGGCGUAAAGGGAGCGUAGGUGGCAUUCUAAGUCUGAUGUGAAAGCUCUGAGCUUAACUCAGAAAUGGCAUUAGAAACUAGUUUGCUUGAGGAUUGGAGGGGAGAUUGGAAUUCUUGGUGUAGCAGUGAAAUGCGUAGAUAUCAAGAGGAACACCAGUGGCGAAGGCGAAUCUCUGGACAAUUCCUGACACUGAUGCUCGAAAGCUAGGGGAGCAAACGGGAUUAGAUACCCCGGUAGUCCUAGCUGUAAACGG
Molecule: ribosomal RNA, 808 nt
Filed under: uncultured Verrucomicrobiota bacterium
Lineage: Bacteria; Pseudomonadati; Verrucomicrobiota
Description: bacterial SSU rRNA
Rfam family: Bacterial small subunit ribosomal RNA
Source: RNAcentral